UUUACCAUAGGGUCUAAGACUGUCAUAAUCUCAUGAGGGAUGUAGAAAGAGUCCUAUGUGAGGACAAUAUGGGCAGAAAUAAUCGGGUCUAAGACUGUCAUAAUCUCAUGAGGGAUGUAGAAAGAGUCCUACGUGAGGACAAUAUGGGCAGAAAUAAUCGGGUCUAAGGCUGUCAUAAUCACAUGAGGGACGUCGAUAGAGUCCCACGUAAGGAUAACAUGGACAGGAAUAACCGUUGAACAUUUUGCACCCUUUAUUUUUAAAAUCUUCUUACUUUUACUUUUAUUUUAA
Long non-coding RNA from Agrilus planipennis (emerald ash borer), 291 nucleotides. RefSeq lists it as uncharacterized. NCBI's taxonomy places the organism in Eukaryota, Metazoa, Arthropoda, Insecta, Coleoptera, Buprestidae. The transcript has 3 exons. The record is from RefSeq and is a predicted model, not a curated record.